This 468-nucleotide ribosomal RNA is filed under the name uncultured bacterium. RNAcentral describes it as "partial 16S ribosomal RNA". It matches the Rfam family "Bacterial small subunit ribosomal RNA", at positions 28 to 507 of the family's 1533-position model. The record is from RNAcentral.
GACGAACGCUGGCGGCGUGCUUAACACAUGCAAGUCGAACGGAAAGGCCCUGCUUUUGUGGGGUGCUCGAGUGGCGAACGGGUGAGUAACACGUGAGUAACCUGCCCCUGACUUUGGGAUAACUUCAGGAAACUGGGGCUAAUACCGGAUAGGAGCUCCUGCUGCAUGGUGGGGGUUGGAAAGUUUCGGCGGUUGGGGAUGGACUCGCGGCUUAUCAGCUUGUUGGUGGGGUAGUGGCUUACCAAGGCUUUGACGGGUAGCCGGCCUGAGAGGGUGACCGGCCACAUUGGGACUGAGAUACGGCCCAGACUCCUACGGGAGGCAGCAGUGGGGAAUAUUGCACAAUGGGCGGAAGCCUGAUGCAGCAACGCCGCGUGCGGGAUGACGGCCUUCGGGUUGUAAACCGCUUUCGCCUGUGACGAAGCGUGAGUGACGGUAAUGGGUAAAGAAGCACCGGCUAACUUCGUG